This 219-nucleotide long non-coding RNA is filed under the name Nicotiana benthamiana. RNAcentral's name for it is "long non-coding RNA (NBEN_LNC034905)". Lineage: Eukaryota; Viridiplantae; Streptophyta; Magnoliopsida; Solanales; Solanaceae. The record is from RNAcentral.
AAUCCCACCACCACCCAUCGGCUGCGCCAACGCCAAUCCCAACUAAAUUAACACCAUGUGAUCCCCUCACUCUCCUCUUUGUAAAUCCUACUCCAUUUCCCUCGAACAUGUCCUAAAAUCAUUGAAUCUAAGUUGAAAGUGAGACCUAAAAAUAUCAAAACUCCAGAAUCGGUGGAUUCGUUGACGAUUGAGAUCAAAAUGGACCUUGACCAUGUGUUU